AUCCAAGUGAGGAGUCCCAAAUAGGACGAAACAUACGUCCUGUAU
Molecule: non-coding RNA, 45 nt
Organism: Schistosoma mattheei
Lineage: Eukaryota; Metazoa; Platyhelminthes; Trematoda; Strigeidida; Schistosomatidae
Source: Rfam